This is a long non-coding RNA of Lolium rigidum, 575 nucleotides long. RefSeq lists it as uncharacterized. The transcript is spliced from 4 exons. NCBI's taxonomy places the organism in Eukaryota, Viridiplantae, Streptophyta, Magnoliopsida, Poales, Poaceae. The record is from RefSeq and is a predicted model, not a curated record.
CAGGCUUAUGAGGAAACCUGCACUGCAUGGAGCUAUGAGAAGUGGGAUGUGCACAGCUAGCAGAUAGCUGAAACUGUGAUGUAUCUAGAUGGGUUCAGCAAGGUCAAGUCAAAGAUUAUUGGUUCAAUGAGCUCAUCAAGACCCUCUUCAUAGCGCUAAACGUCAUUGAAAUGCCCAAGGAUGUUGAGCAGAAGUUUGGACGGACUUUUGUUGAGUCAUACACGUUUAGUCCUGUAAGUUUGGACGGACGGUUUUUGAAUUCCCCUUCAAUGGCCGCCUCCAUCCCUUCUAUUGAGCUCCAUAGGGAGCCGCUGGCAUACCGCAAGUUCUAUGGAGAGCUGCAUGCGUCCGUUGAGGUUCUUGUUGAGACGCUGGAGUCCGGCGAUGUUCAUGGGGUGUAGCAGGGUGGCAGCUAGGUUCUCAGGUCACCACCGAAGAGCUGGAACAAGGUGAUGGAUGGGCGAGCCGCCGGUGGAGCCUUGUUCUUGGAGCGGUGGUGGUAGGGGAGGCCCGAAGCGGGUGUUUGUGGAAGUGAUAUGCCCUGAUGCAUCAGCAUUAUAAUGGAGAAGUGUGGC